AGCUCCUGGGGUUCUCCAGCUGGCUCCCCGUCGGACUGCAGAGCAGAGCAAGAGCCGCAGCGUGGUUUUGGCCUUAGAAACGUUGAGAAAUGUGCAGCUGGUUGGUCAUAGAAGAGUGGUCACAGCACCAGCCACCUGCAGCGGCCUCUCCACGUUAAUUUCCUGUUUAGUGCACUCAGAGAAGCAACAUGGGGCUUUGCUUUUUUGCGCCCUUUUUUUUCCCCCCAGCAUGCAGAAGCCUGAUCUGUGACCUUAUUUGCUUCUUUUUCAGUGGUUAGCCACGGUUCAAUAUGCAGUCACAAACCCCUAAUAGCAACAGGACUGCACGUGCUGAAUCCAUCUGUAAAUGCUGGCACAGGGAUCAAUACAGGUUACCAGAUAACACGAGAUGACUUCCACAGGAGCUUUGAGCCUUAAAGUCUACUUAAUUAUGAAUGAUCCCAUAUUAUGUCUUCUUGCAAUGGGAGGAAAAGCUGUUCAGAGAGGCGGUAUGCAGUUUCAGUAUUUACCAUUCAAGUGCAAAUGAGCCAUCACUGAUUUCAAAAUUAGCAUAUGUAAAUUAUUUGUUACUUUCCUUCAGAGUUCUUCUUUUCUCUACUUCAUUGUUUUAUGUUUAUACUUAAAAGCAGGUGGAACAAUGCACUCAGAGGAGGCAUGCUCAGCCAGUGUAGCUUUGUAGGUUUCCAAAACCAGGUGUUUUUGAGAAGAGGAAAAAGUGAUCAUUAUAAUGCAAAUAGUUAUUACUGUGUCUCAAGCCUAUUAUUAGCUAAGAGUUAUCGUUGACCUUGUGGUUUUCAUCCUCUUAUUGUAAUUGUAAGUACUGCUGUAUUUCAUAAUAUAAAUUAGUUCACAAAUGGGACCUGCUAACAAAGGACAUGGAAGAGGCUGAGGUACUCAUUGGCUUCUUUGCCUUGGUCUUCCCUGGUAAGAUUUGCCACAGGAUUUCCAGGUCCCUGAGACCCAUCAGAAAGUGAAGAGCAGCAAAGACUUACCCUCAGUAAAGCAGGAUCAAGUUGGGAGAGGGGAAGUUCCUGAGAACUCGGAAAAGCAAUUACCAGUCCUGUCUUUGAGAAGAGCAAGAAGGAGGGAGGAUCUGGGCCUAUCAGUUUUACUUCAAUGCCUGGGAAGGUCAUGGAGCAAAUAAUCCUGUAAAGCAUUUCCAAAUGGAUGAAGGACAAGAAGGUGACUGAAAGUAGUUGUCAUGAGUUUAUGAAGAUAAAAUCAGCUCACCUGAUUACCUCCUAAGAUGAAAUAACUAAGAUGAGGAGAGAGUAAUGCAUGUUGUUUAUUUUGACUUUGACAAGGCUUUUGACAGAGUCUGAAUAACAUUUUUAUAGGCAAACCGAUGAAGUUUCGUGGACUAGCUAAAAGGACAAUGAAAUGGACUGAAAACUGACUGAACUUCUGGGCUCAAAGGGUUGUGAUCAGUGACACAAAGUCCAGCUGGAGGCCAGCUAUUUGUGGUGUACCAAGUUAAUUGUAUAUGGCAUUAAAAAUACCUCUUAUCAAUG
Molecule: long non-coding RNA, 1511 nt
Organism: Pseudopipra pipra
Lineage: Eukaryota; Metazoa; Chordata; Aves; Passeriformes; Pipridae
Exons: 2
Source: RefSeq, a predicted model, not a curated record